UUCCUUGGGGAAGAGGUCCUUUUACUCCUGUGGGAAUGAUUUGAACUCCCAUCUCUGGAGUUAGUACUGCUCUGGCGGAGGUGCAGAUGCCCAACCCUGCACUCCCUCUAGUUUGUCUGAUGAGGGAUUUAAUGGAUAAUGUGUCCUGGUCACUACCCUGAUGGUGUUGCUGGGUUCCUCCAUUGCUCCAUAUAUUUGUGGUUGUGGGCCCCGGAGCAUUGGGCCCCCCAGUCCGUUUUUUGGCAGUGGAGCCUGAUGCCUUUCUCCACGAUAUCGUGGGUAAACACUUGGUCCUUGUCCGUUUUUUGAUAACGGAAUACCCUCUAUGGUGGUUUGAGAACGGCAUUCAUUAGCCCAAUGUCUCCCUCUACGGCAUCGUGGGCAAAUACCCAGUAUUCUAUUCCUUUGAUACCUAGCUUUGUUAAACCCUCCUCCUAUGGGGCAACUCCUUUUAAAAUGUCCUGUUUGUUCACAAUUGUAGCAUGUUUUUGGCCUAGCAUCUAAAGCCUGUUGUACUGCUGCCAAGACUUGCCCUUGUUCAUUAAUGUCUCUACAUAAUUUAAUAUAUGUGUUUAAAUCUUCAUGUCUCCAUGGUCUAAUGACCUCUCUGCAGCAACGAUUUGCUUGGUCAUAAGCCAGUUGUUUUAUAAAUGGCAUUGCUUGUUCUAUAUCCCCCAAAAUUCUGGAAGCUGUUUGAAUAAGCCUAUCUACAAAUUCAGCGUAAGGUUCAUUAGUUCCUUGUAUUACCUUAGAUAAUUGUCCUUGUAAAUCUCCAUGCCCCUGUAAAGUUUUCCAUGCCCUAACCGCAUCUACAGCAAUUUGUGCAUAUAAGCCAGGAUCAUAUUCAAUUUGUUGCCGUUGACCCUCAUAAGGUCCUUUUCCUAACAACAUAUCUAGAUUUCUUUGAGGGUAACCGGCUGCUGCAUUUCGCCUAGCUGUCUCCGUGCAAAAUUCCUCAUUGGCAAACUUCCAUAACAAAUAUUGUCCUCCAUUUAGCACAGAUCGACACAUGUUAGCCCAAUCUGCUGGCGUCAUGUCCAAGUUGGUAAUGGAUUCGACCAUGCUCACAGUGAAGGGUGCUUGCGGACCAUAGGUUGUUACAGCCUCCUUUAAUUGCUU
RNAcentral lists this long non-coding RNA (1119 nucleotides) under Marmota monax (woodchuck). Lineage: Eukaryota; Metazoa; Chordata; Mammalia; Rodentia; Sciuridae. The record is from RNAcentral.